GUGGGGAAUAUUGCACAAUGGGGGAAACCCUGAUGCAGCCAUGCCGCGUGUGUGAAGAAGGCCUUCGGGUUGUAAAGCACUUUCAGCGAGGAGGAAAGGUUGGUAGCUAAUAACUGCCAGCUGUGACGUUACUCGCAGAAGAAGCACCGGCUAACUCCGUGCCAGCAGCCGCGGUAAUACGGAGGGUGCAAGCGUUAAUCGGAAUUACUGGGCGUAAAGCGCACGCAGGCGGUUGGAUAAGUUAGAUGUGAAAGCCCCGGGCUCAACCUGGGAAUUGCAUUUAAAACUGUCCAGCUAGAGUCUUGUAGAGGGGGGUAGAAUUCCAGGUGUAGCGGUGAAAUGCGUAGAGAUCUGGAGGAAUACCGGUGGCGAAGGCGGCCCCCUGGACCAAGACUGACGCUGAGGUGCGAAAGCGUGGGUAGCAAACAGGAUUAGAAACCCCGGUAGUCC
This 450-nucleotide ribosomal RNA is filed under the name uncultured bacterium. RNAcentral describes it as "partial 16S ribosomal RNA". It matches the Rfam family "Bacterial small subunit ribosomal RNA", at positions 354 to 796 of the family's 1533-position model. The record is from RNAcentral.